Molecule: ribosomal RNA, 89 nt
Filed under: Colocasia esculenta (taro)
Lineage: Eukaryota; Viridiplantae; Streptophyta; Magnoliopsida; Alismatales; Araceae
Source: RNAcentral
GAUCCCAUCAGAACUCCGAAGUAAGCUUAACUUGGGCGAGAGUAGUACCAGGAUGGGUGACCUCUAGAGAAGUCCUCGUGUUGCACCCC